CCUCAUGCCGGCUUUGAUUCUUGAAGCAAAACAUACAAAUUGAUUAUUGUGCACUUGUGGUUUAACCGUGGUCUCUAAGGUGAAACUUUGAGGUGAAUAUACACACAUCAAUUCUCUAUACAUACUCUCUCUCGCAUUUGGAUUCUCGGUGGUGUUCAUCCUUAUUAUGUUUCAUUAACCCCGAUAUGAUGUUUGUACUAUAUGGCACACAAGCAAACACUAUACUAUAUGAUGUUACAUUCUCGGUGGCAGAUCUCUUUAUUCAUACCAAACUCUAAAACAAAGAAGCAAACACUAUACUAUUGAAGUUGAACCUGGAAAUAAAUAUAAGAAAGAUUUCAAAAAGGAUCAUCUAACUGAUUUCACUUUGCCAUUGCUCUACUACCUGUU
This 390-nucleotide long non-coding RNA is filed under the name Arabidopsis lyrata. Its description in RNAcentral is "long non-coding RNA (ALYR_LNC001293)". Lineage: Eukaryota; Viridiplantae; Streptophyta; Magnoliopsida; Brassicales; Brassicaceae. The record is from RNAcentral.